RNAcentral lists this long non-coding RNA (472 nucleotides) under Mytilus galloprovincialis (Mediterranean mussel). The record is from RNAcentral. Lineage: Eukaryota; Metazoa; Mollusca; Bivalvia; Mytilida; Mytilidae.
AACUAGAGUACUUCCGAAAGUCGUCUGCUCAAACGAGAUCGAAAAUGGGAAAAUUUGCCAGAAAAGUUCAAGAAAAGUCAGACAAAUACAUUCCAAUCGUUCUAAAUAGUUUGACUAUAAUAUUUUGCAUGUGUACAUUCAUACCUAUAGGAUCCGUUAAAAACUAUUUUCAUGGAGAAUGUGUGCUUUAUGCCCAGCCGGUUCUGACUGCUGUAACACGACCAAAUAAUUUGACUACAAUAACAGUUGACUUGAAGUCAUCAGUUUGGGGUGAACUAAGUACCUGUUACUAUGUUAUAUACACGCCUGUUGUGGUCGGAAUCUACACCUUUAUCUGGCUUUGGUUCCAUAUUCAGUUGAGAAUGUCGAUAUUUGAUGAAGGGUAAGUCCAGUUGGUAACCGGCACUUAGAUUAGUCGACAUUCCCAUGAAGUGCCGAAGUGUCUGUGAUGAUGACUAAGAAAUAUACAGUG